This is a long non-coding RNA of Crocodylus porosus (Australian saltwater crocodile), 1613 nucleotides long. Lineage: Eukaryota; Metazoa; Chordata; Crocodylia; Crocodylidae. The record is from Ensembl.
AGCCUCUUCCUGAAAACACAUUUGCCCCGAUCUGAGUUUUCUUUAACUGAACAAACAGAACUAUCAGCUGAAUAAACAGAACUAUCUGUAAGCAUUUUGUCUCCCGACAAAGAAGGCUCACCUAGCUGCUUGGAAAACUAGAAGAAGCUAGACUCUUAGGCUAGCAUGUCUUUGAAAGAGGCUGAUGAUACAAGUUAAGUGUUUUCUGGAUCAGACAAGAGCUCAGCUGAGCCAAACCCUGUUUGCUAUUUCAGCUGACUCUAAUUGAGCACAAUCCUGCCACAGAUAAAAAUGGAAAAACAACAUAGAAAUACUUACUGGUAGUUCAAAGUUCUCAUUCCUUUUGUUCCCAUUUAAUGUGUUAUCUUUGAGUCAGACUAACAUGUUUCCUGCCUGUUUCUGCAAAAAGCCACCAUCAGGCAGGGUUGAUGGAAGAUCACAGGAAGCUAAACUCUUUGUGCGUAGACUCCGAGUAUGGAGAGCUUAUCAUUUUUCUGAAUCUCCUGAUUCCAGUACUAUGACUUCAAUUUUCCUGAUUAAAAAUACUGAUGUCCUGCAGCUAAUGAAAGCCAGUGAUGUAGCUGAGGGUGGCAGAGUCCCAAAUCUGGUUUGACAGAGAAUCCCCUUCACUUGUUUCCAUUGGACUCUCACACUGGAGGAAACCUCCUUUCGACUGAAGGAAAGUCUAAUUUCAAGCUGCAAAGCAUCUACAAUCUACCAGGGCACCAUUAACAGAUCUCAAAAGGCACACGAUCAUUUUUCUUUUCAAAUUACACAAAUUACAUAAUAAGAAAUAACAGAGCUGAUAAUGGACUGAGCAGCCACUGGCAAUGUCGACACCAUCAUGGUCAGUGAACUGGUACAGUUAGUAAUGUCAGUCACUGAGUGUUGCUUUAGCUGGACUCUUUUUAACGAUAAAGAGGUGUCUCUCCAGCUUUGUGCCUAUGUGCAGCCCAUAGUAGAAGACAUUUGCAACCUCCUCUAAGAGCAGGUCAACAGAAGAAAGGAGACUUCAAAAGCCACAAGACUUACUCUGUUAGGGCAAGUGGCAAAGAUUCAGGCUUUCAGCAUCAAAAGGCCCAGAGUUCAACAAAGGGAGGAAUGUUGUGUCUAUAGUAUAAAGGCAAUAAGAGUAUACUGGAUGCUUAUCAUUUCCAUGGUGCUUUGCAGACUCAAAAUGCUCUGCAGAUGUUAAAGCACCUACACAACAAUCCUAUCCCUGUUGUCUACAGGAAGAACACUUGAGGCACAUGAAUGAAGUGGUCUGCCCAGGCUGUAAACCUGGGUGGCUGACAGGGCAAGGAUUAGAUCUCUGCACCUCCAGGCUUUCUAACCCAUGAAUAUCUCUCCAGGCCACUGGCAAAAAUAUGAUUUUAGCAUUUCCCAUGCAUUUCUGUUACCUGUUUUACACGUAAAUGGCACUGUCUAGCCUCGUGGAUAGAUCCCACUAUUGAUGGCUACACACACUGAGAAGAGAAGUUAGGCCACUGGAAAGUGUUCAAGCACAUUUUCAGAAACCAGAAGUGACUGUAAAAUGAAUGGAGCUUCACCAUUACAGCUGAUCCAGUUGCAGGGGUAGGCAGAAGGAAAGAAAGAAGUCCAGGAACUUUACC